GAUUAUCUUAUUUCCAUUUUCAACAUUUAAAUAAAUAUCUCUGUCCUUUUACUUUUAUUUAUUUUUAUAUUACUCCAUUUACUUAAGUUUACAAUGUAAAUAAGGAAGUACCCUCCAUUUGGAUUCAAAUAAAAAAUACUAGAAAAUCAAAUUCCCACCAAAUCAAAAUACGAAAAUUCGGUUUUAGUGCAAAAUAUGAUUUAGGUUAAAAAUGAUGGCUCAUUAAGUCAAUAUAUACUUCAUACUAAAAUCCCAUAAAAUCAAGUUUUCUUAUUUGAUGUAUAAGGAAUAAAAGCCGCCAAAAAUUAUCAUGAGAAAAUGAUUAUUCCGAAAAACCAUUUUUCAUACUUAGUCAAUAUUGCAGAUCCGCUAAAAAAUUU
RNAcentral lists this long non-coding RNA (380 nucleotides) under Prunus dulcis (almond). Its description in RNAcentral is "sRNA ncRNA". The record is from RNAcentral. Lineage: Eukaryota; Viridiplantae; Streptophyta; Magnoliopsida; Rosales; Rosaceae.